Long non-coding RNA from Triticum aestivum (bread wheat), 509 nucleotides. RefSeq lists it as uncharacterized. The record is from RefSeq and is a predicted model, not a curated record. Lineage: Eukaryota; Viridiplantae; Streptophyta; Magnoliopsida; Poales; Poaceae. The transcript has 2 exons.
GCAACUAGCGAGCAGAGCAGGGCAGACCAGCAGUAGCAGACACAAAGAGAAAGUAGAAAGGCAAGGAUGGGUCAGUGCCCCUCUAUCCGGCAGCCUGAGGCAGAGUAUGUUCGCCUGCUGGCGUUACCCGGCGGCAAAAGCAGGAACGAGCAGUUCGGCAAACCUACAAAGGCCAUGAACAAAUACCAAAAAAGAUCAAGCAAGGACGAUCUAGUUAUGAGGGCGACACUCGAAUCAAUCACGAGAAUUGGAUAAAACUGCAAAUUUGAUGGAAAAAGAGCGAUGCCAGAUGUCAGAGUUUCGACCCGGAUACUAUAGGCAUCAAUUGUGAAUCUUAAUGCCGGUAGAAAUACGGUGAAAUCUAGGAUGGCUUUCGAAUUACUUAGAUGACUUAAAAGUAAUUGUGUGUACAAGUCUCCUAGCUAGCACUACGCAUGUUCCGGAAAUUUGCUUCACUAUGUUUUGUACAUAUAAGUGAUAAUAAUAUAUGAAAGGUCAGCGGUAAUUAA